ACCCCUUUCAAUAUGUUUCACUCACACAGAGCAUAUCCAGCCUAUAUUUACACAUUUCAUUUGCAAGUUUGUUUGUUCCCUUUUACUUGUCUAUUCAUGUUCCACACACUCAAUCUCCAUUCUUAUAUCUAUUUCCAUUCCCAUUGUCCUUUAUCCAGUCCAAUAGUUUUUUCUUUGACUUUUAAAAAUCAAAUAAGAAAUUUCACUUUUUGGUGAUCUGCCAAAUGAUGAUAUAGUUUGAUGGAGAAGCUGUCCUCUUGAGGGUCCCAGGCAAGCCUAGAUACCACUUUGUCAGGUUUCUAACUUCUGGCCAUUAUGACAAAGUUGAACUACCAACAGCUUGAAACUGGAGAACUGGAGCAUGCAAUCCUUUUGCCACAUAAAGGCAUGGGCCCAAAGGGAGUAAGUCUAACUAUAUUCUCAAAAAAUAGUUUUUAUAUCUCAAUUAAUUUUCAUUAAAUGUUUAAAAUUUUUUAGAAUUUAUUAAGUUCUUUUGUUCUUGCUAAUAGAGAGUGACUUUUUUUUAAUUUAAUUUUUUCACAACGUUACAUUCUUUAUAUGACAUUGGCGGAAAC
Molecule: long non-coding RNA, 575 nt
Filed under: Androctonus crassicauda
Lineage: Eukaryota; Metazoa; Arthropoda; Arachnida; Scorpiones; Buthidae
Source: RNAcentral